CCUACGGGAUGCAGCAGUGGGGAAUAUUGCACAAUGGGGGAAACCCUGAUGCAGCGACGCCGCGUGAGUGAAGAAGUAAUUCGUUAUGUAAAGCUCUAUCAGCAGGGAAGAAAAUGACGGUACCUGAGUAAGAAGCCCCGGCUAACAACGUGCCAGCAGCCGCGGUAAUACGUAGGGGGCAAGCGUUAUCCGGAUUUACUGGGUGGAAAGGGAGCGUAGACGGCAGUGCAAGUCUGGAGUGAAAGGCGGGGGCUCAACCCCCGGACUGCUCUGGAAACUGUACGGCUGGAGUGCAGGAGAGGUAAGUGGAAUUCCUAGGGUAGCGGUGAAAUGCGUAGAUAUUAGGAGGAACACCAGUGGCGAAGGCGGCUUACUGGACUGUAACUGACGUUGAGGCUCGAAAGCGUGGGGAGCAAACAGGAUUAGAUACCCCAGUAGUC
Molecule: ribosomal RNA, 440 nt
Filed under: uncultured bacterium
Lineage: Bacteria
Description: partial 16S ribosomal RNA
Rfam family: Bacterial small subunit ribosomal RNA
Source: RNAcentral